Molecule: non-coding RNA, 509 nt
Organism: Anolis sagrei ordinatus
Lineage: Eukaryota; Metazoa; Chordata; Lepidosauria; Squamata; Anolidae
Source: RefSeq, a predicted model, not a curated record
CUGAAUUUAGAACUGGGCUUAAAACUGGAUUAUUCAACACACACACAGAGAAAAAGCACUGGAUUAUAACAAGGUUUAUUUAUUUCCAAGAGCUGAAAAGUGAAGAAGACUGCAAAAUCCCAGAGAUUAGAUAACCAUUCGGAAAUCUAUAUAUCAAGCAAAAACAAGAAAGUUCAGUAUCCUAACUAUAAUAUCUCUUCAAGCAUAAAGCCUGGAGCUUUAUACAAAGCAAAAUCUGAAGAUCAUCAUAACGGCACAUUUGAAAUAGAAAACAAAAAAGUGCAUUAGCUAUUAUCAGAUUCAUACAGAAACCCAACUAGAACUAUGAAGAAAAUAACCACAUUAUAUUUUGAAGCUGCUUUCUUUAAAACACACACAUAUACACACUACUCUUGUUUUUCAGAAACUGAUAAAAGUAUAAUAACUAAGCAAUGUAAGUUUGAGUAAGAGUGAAAUUGCUAAUUAUCAUGUUGUGACUUUUAAAAGCAAGGAGGAAAAAAUAAUAAUAA